GCUUAUGGAAGUCAUGCCAAAGAAGCCCCAUGGAAGCUAUGGUCCGUAAAGCCAAAGCCACCUCCAAGAAACUCCCGUAAAAAUCGUUUCUCUCUAGGUUUUGGGUUUUGGUGUUUUUGGAAAAACCACACUUAAUUACUUCCUAAGGAAAUGUCACAUCGAAGAGGAAGAGUACAAAUAAUGU
Vitis riparia (riverbank grape) is the source of this 184-nucleotide long non-coding RNA. RefSeq lists it as uncharacterized. The record is from RefSeq and is a predicted model, not a curated record. NCBI's taxonomy places the organism in Eukaryota, Viridiplantae, Streptophyta, Magnoliopsida, Vitales, Vitaceae. The transcript is spliced from 3 exons.